Alosa sapidissima (American shad) is the source of this 1392-nucleotide RNA transcript. RefSeq lists it as uncharacterized. The transcript is spliced from 7 exons. Lineage: Eukaryota; Metazoa; Chordata; Actinopteri; Clupeiformes; Clupeidae. The record is from RefSeq and is a predicted model, not a curated record.
GAAAUAAAGACUACAUAUCUUUGCAUUCCCCUGUUUAUUAACCUACUCAAAGACAAAAUAAGAGAUUACUAUGCACGUGCAUUUGAUCCCUAAAGAGCUACAGAAGACACAGCAAUCAUCUCAACAGAAAAUCCAGGCAAAAGAAAAUAACAGAAUUUAAACAAGCUAUGGAGUCCUUGACAAAUUCAGAGCAGGUAGUGAUGGAAGACACUGAAAAGGUCUUUGAGGAGCUGGUCCGUAUGGUUAAGGAGAGGUGCUCUGAAGUGAAAGAAGUUAUCAGAACCCAGAAGAAAGCUGAACUAAGUCAGGCAAGAACACUUUUAGAUCAGCUUCAUCAGGAGAUUGCAGAGCUACGGAAGAAAAACUCAGAACUGGAAGAGCUUUCACAGAUCGAAGAUCACCUAGAUUUCCUGCAGUCUCAAAAGUGUAGACAAGCCUGUCAUUCCGUGUUCCCUAUGAGCCUAAAGUUGUACCUGGGACAAACAUUAACCCCCAAGCUUCAUUUGAGAAGGUCCAGCCAUGUCUCGCUGAACUGAGGAAAAACAUGGAGGGUCUUUUGACUAUGGAGUUUAGGAACAUAUCUGAUAUCAUAAAGAGAGACCAUAUUGUACAAGCAGCACCAAAAGAAGAGCCAUAUGCAGUACCCACAACGGGAGAGAGCCUGUUGAGAUAUGCCUCUCACCUUAUACUGGACUCAAAUACAAUUCAAGGACAAGUCUGCCUGGUGAAUAUAGGAAGAGGCAUAUCAUCUAAUUUUGUACAGUCAUCAAGCCAUCCCUUUUCGGGAAAUGGUGGUUUCAGCUUUGGGAGUUCUGCCUUUGGGACAGGUGGACUGAGUAAAGGGAGUGCUGUUGAUCAGAUGUUAGCUUAUAAAAACUAUGGCCAUGUGUUAUGUGCAGGGAGGUUGUCUGGUCACAGUUAUUGGGAGGCUGAGUGGUCUGAAAGUAAUGCCGAGGUAAUCAUGGCUGUCACAUACACAGGCUCCGGCAGGCUCGGAGAAGACUUAAUGUCCUGGGCCUUGCUGUGCUCUCACUCAGGCUAUAGCUUUCAGCACAACAAUGUAAAAACUCAACUUACUACCUUACCAGGUGGGAUAUCCCUUUUUGGAGCAAAACUGUUCACCAAAGUUGGUAUAUAUCUGGAUUUUGAUGCCGAAAUUCUGGCUUUUUAUACAGUCUCUGAUAGAAUUUCCCUUCUUCAUAAAGUUCAGACCUCUUUCACUCAGGCUGUCUACCCUGCUUUUGGUAUGACGGGGACUGGCAGUGGCACCUGUACUCUCAGUUCAACUGUCCCAAGUAUGUUUGGGGUGGGUGGGUUAUUCGGCAAUUAAGCAAAAUCAUUGUUUCUAAAUUGAGUUGACAACAGUCAAAUAAAGCCACAGAUCUUGGAAAA